GGGAUCUCUGCUCACGCACGCUGCCAGGAAAAAGGCAAUCCACCCAGACCUGAGUGCUGGGGCUCUCAGGAAGAAGGCAAUCCACCCAGACCUGGCUGCGGACAAGGAAGUACCUAUUUGGAUUCCUGAGCGGUUAACCCGACAAGCCCCAGACCCUGAAGACGGCGCUAAAGAAGAUGCCACUGAUACUACUGAUAUGGGGAGCAUUAACACUCCACCUCCAGCCGAUAGCGACCUGUGAAUUGACACCGUUAGAAACAUGGGCUAUUUUACCAAGGC
This is a long non-coding RNA of Mustela erminea (ermine), 279 nucleotides long. RefSeq lists it as uncharacterized. The transcript is spliced from 3 exons. NCBI's taxonomy places the organism in Eukaryota, Metazoa, Chordata, Mammalia, Carnivora, Mustelidae. The record is from RefSeq and is a predicted model, not a curated record.